Molecule: long non-coding RNA, 237 nt
Organism: Mytilus trossulus (common blue mussel)
Lineage: Eukaryota; Metazoa; Mollusca; Bivalvia; Mytilida; Mytilidae
Exons: 7
Source: RefSeq, a predicted model, not a curated record
UGACCAGCAAGAUGAAGAAAGGUGCAUUUAUAUAACUUACUUUUCGUCUUUAUAGAUCAGAUCGGCAACAACGGAAAAGAAAAAUGAGUAAACGAAAAGCAAUGUUCAGUGAAGACGAUGAUGAAUACUUUUCAGGCGGGUGUAGUUAUAUAGACCCAAGUUUGGUUCCAAAUGGGUUAUUGUAUCUUUCGAACAGGUCAUGGUUUGUUUCGAACGAUCCGCCUCCUUUGGGGAAUG